UGGGGAAUUUUGGACAAUGGGCGAAAGCCUGAUCCAGCAAUGCCGCGUGUGUGAAGAAGGCCUUCGGGUUGUAAAGCACUUUUGUCCGGAAAGAAAUCCUUGGCUCUAAUACAGUCGGGGGAUGACGGUACCGGAAGAAUAAGCACCGGCUAACUACGUGCCAGCAGCCGCGGUAAUACGUAGGGUGCAAGCGUUAAUCGGAAUUACUGGGCGUAAAGCGUGCGCAGGCGGUUUGCUAAGACCGAUGUGAAAUCCCCGGGCUCAACCUGGGAACUGCAUUGGUGACUGGCAGGCUAGAGUAUGGCAGAGGGGGGUAGAAUUCCACGUGUAGCAGUGAAAUGCGUAGAGAUGUGGAGGAAUACCGAUGGCGAAGGCAGCCCCCUGGGCCAAUACUGACGCUCAUGCACGAAAGCGUGGGGAGCAAACAGGAUUAGAUACCCUGGUAGUCCACGCCCUAAACGAUGUCAACUAGUUGUUGGGGAUUCAUUUCCUUAGUAACGUAGCUAAUGCGUGAAGUUGACCGCCUGGGGAGUACGGUCGCAAGAUUAAAACUCAAAUGAAUUGAC
RNAcentral lists this ribosomal RNA (566 nucleotides) under uncultured bacterium. Its description in RNAcentral is "partial 16S ribosomal RNA". It matches the Rfam family "Bacterial small subunit ribosomal RNA", at positions 355 to 914 of the family's 1533-position model. The record is from RNAcentral.